CAUCUACAUUAACUAUGUAACGUUUCUUGCCGACCCACCUGUCUCUGCCUCUUCCGUCGUCGUCUUUGAAGCCAACGUCAACACUUCUAUGGAGUCAAUGGUUGAACCUUUCCUGCCCAAAUCCAUAGGUUUUCAAAAAUUUCCAUGAGUGAAGGUCUUUCCACCACAAGCAAUAGUUGUCUAUUUAUGAUUAGCGAUUGGGAACAGGACUUCAGCCAUCGGAGUUGUAUCUAUGCCAUUUCGUAAUCUUAACUUUCAUACGAAUAAAUAAUUUUAAAGAA
Long non-coding RNA from Macrobrachium nipponense, 281 nucleotides. RefSeq lists it as uncharacterized. Lineage: Eukaryota; Metazoa; Arthropoda; Malacostraca; Decapoda; Palaemonidae. The record is from RefSeq and is a predicted model, not a curated record. The transcript is spliced from 2 exons.